RNAcentral lists this ribosomal RNA (522 nucleotides) under Lysinibacillus fusiformis. RNAcentral's name for it is "bacterial SSU rRNA". It matches the Rfam family "Bacterial small subunit ribosomal RNA", at positions 557 to 1076 of the family's 1533-position model. Lineage: Bacteria; Bacillati; Bacillota; Bacilli; Caryophanales; Bacillaceae. The record is from RNAcentral.
GGCGUAAGCGCGCGCAGGCGGUCCUUUAAGUCUGAUGUGAAAGCCCACGCCUCAACCGUGGAGGGUCAUUGGAAACUGGGGGACUUGAGUGCAGAAGAGGAAAGUGGAAUUCCAAGUGUAGCGGUGAAAUGCGUAGAGAUUUGGAGGAACACCAGUGGCGAAGGCGACUUUCUGGUCUGUAACUGACGCUGAGGCGCGAAAGCGUGGGGAGCAAACAGGAUUAGAUACCCUGGUAGUCCACGCCGUAAACGAUGAGUGCUAAGUGUUAGGGGGUUUCCGCCCCUUAUGGCUGCACCUAACGCAUUAAGCACUCCGCCUGGGGAGUACGGUCGCAAGACUGAAACUCAAAGGAAUUGACGGGGGCCCGCACAAGCGGUGGAGCAUGUGGUUUAUUUCGAAGCAACGCGAAGAACCUUACCAGGUCUUGACAUCCCGUUGACUACUGUAGAUAUAUGGGUUUCCCUUCGGACACAACGGUGACAGGUGGUGGAUGGUUGUCGUCUCCUCGUGUCGUGAGAUGUU